GUGAAUUAUGUAUACCUAAUU
Caenorhabditis elegans is the source of this 21-nucleotide non-coding RNA. NCBI's taxonomy places the organism in Eukaryota, Metazoa, Nematoda, Chromadorea, Rhabditida, Rhabditidae. The record is from Ensembl.